This 7354-nucleotide long non-coding RNA is filed under the name Arabidopsis lyrata. RNAcentral's name for it is "long non-coding RNA (ALYR_LNC000838)". The record is from RNAcentral. Lineage: Eukaryota; Viridiplantae; Streptophyta; Magnoliopsida; Brassicales; Brassicaceae.
GUUAACGAAAUAUUAUUUAGAAAUGACAGUUUAACCAAGCCAAAAUUUGUCAAGUUAGGGAUUAGUUGAUACCAAAGUAUUAAGAGCACCGGCUUUAUAAUGAUGUGGUGAAACUUUACUCUUCUCUCUUGAAACAUAGAUUAGGUUUGGCAUCAUCUCAUCUGUUUCGUUGUGUUGUAGCACCUUUCCCACAAAUUAAUAGAAAAAAACGAGUUCUUAUUAAUUGUAGAAACUUUUGUUUCUAAAAUAAAACACUCAAAUACACUUUCUUUAUAUGAUACGAUGCGAUACAAAACAAAAUGAGUUAUAAUAAUACCUGAAUAAUUGUGGGAUGGUCAUGACGAGUGAAUUUAUCUGUCCACAAAUCGAAAACCCCACGAAAUUGAUCGCAUGUGAUAAAUGCAGUCUCAACUUUUCCACUCUCGGCCACAUUUUCUACUCUACUCUUCAUGUCUUCGUACAUCAGCUAUUAACACCACACAAUUUUAAGCAAAUAUAUAUAUACUCAUAUCGUUUAGGAGAAGAAAUCAUUGAUAUAUCAUGGAUGUUUAAACAUUACAAUAAAUGAAUAGGAAAUAUUAUGUGAUACAUGUCACAGUAUCCCAAACUCUUGGGGUCGUAAAGGACAAAAUCGCCAUUAUUAUUGUCGACAAGAACCUAAGGCUAUGAUGGACCAAAUUGUUUCAUAAAAUAUUUGGUAUGUGUUUCAGUUUCUCCCUCUCUUUUUUUCAACCAUUUUUCCCCAAAUUUUUUUAAUCAAACAUUAUUUCCAUUUUCUCUUGAAAGCUCCAGUUUCAAAUUACUGAUUUAUAUUUAACUCAUAAUUGAUACAUAUCAAGGAAGCUAUACCAUAAAGAAAUAUUGCUUAUGGUGCACAUGAAUUAUUCGAUUUUAGUAUACUUAAAGAGAACAACUAAUAUAUAGUUGAAUAGCAAAAUAGGUGAAUCCUGAUAUAGCAUAACCAAUAGAACGAUAACAUUUAUAAACUGAAUAGAACUGAUUCUUUUAAAACGCCAAAAACUAUUAUUUAGUAGAUGAAUAAAAUUUCAAGAUUAACAAAAAAAAAGUUUUGACAAAAAAAAUAUACAUGAAAGUGUCUCUAAUUUAGUUAUAAUUUUAAAACGUGUGAGAUAUACUGAAAUGUCACUUGUUAUUUUCAUGUGUUAUCAUUCAUCACAAGUUUUUACGGAUAUUAUAUAUUCGGCAAAAUCAUGUUUUCGAAACGUGACGUUGAAAAACUCGCAAACCAUUCAAACCCAUAAUUUUUUUUAAAACUAUUAUGGCUUCAAUUGGUAACCAUAAUUUAGAAAAAGAAUGAGAAUGAAUGUGAUAUUCCUCUUUGUUCCUCAAUAUUUUUACCAUUUACAAGUAAUAUUUUUUCCACAUCAUUCCUCUACAUUCCUCACCAAAAGAGGAACACUAGAACAAAAAUGUUCCUCUCCAAAAUUGAUGAGGAACAAAAUGGAACAAGAAAGGAACAAAUAUUAAAAUUCGUUUUUAUUUUAAAAUAAAAAAUAAUAUUUAUCAAUAAUAUUUGUAUUUUAUUAUAUAAUAAUUUUCAUAUCUUUACAAUAUAUUAACAGAAAAAAAUAUUUUUGAUAAGAAUUUUAUGCUGAAUUACUCUUAAGUCUUCAUUUGAAAAUUAUAUAAAUAGUAAAAUAAAUUUAAAAGUGUUUAUAUUGUAAAAGAUUAAUAUAUUUUAAAUUACUCUUUCAAUUUUAUUUUAUGUUAAUAUUAAAUAUUAUUUAAAAUGAUAUAUAUAUAUAUAUAUAUAAAUUUAGCUCACUAAUUUUAGUUUCAAAUUAAAUAUAAAAUUCAAUAAAUAUAAAAAAUAUUUAGUAUUUUUCAUUGAAAUUUGAUUCAUUUACUAUUUAAUAUAUCUUUAAAGAUAUUUUUAUUGUUUGGUUACCAUUCAUCAUAAUAGUACAUUUUAUUCAUUCUCUACAUUUUUUCUUUUUUGUUCAUCAAAAAUUAUUUGUUCCAUUCCGCAUUGUUCUUUUUAUUCAGUUUUUUUUUGUUCUUUUAAUGGUUACCAGUCGGAGCCUAUGUACAUUUUAACUAAUAAUAAUGAAUUUUAAAUUUCAAAAAGUAUUGAUUUAAAAUAAUUAAAAUUUUGAAACACUAUUGGUUUAACGAAAAUUGAAUCAGUACACAAAAUUAAUAUAUUUGUAAUUAAAUAUUAAUUUUUUGUGUGUGAAAACUCAAAAUUUCAUUAUCUAGAAACAGAAGGAUAGUAUCAUUUUAGAUAACUAUACUCCAAUCGUUUACGAGAAAUCAUUUAGAGGAAAUCUAACACAAACCCUGGCUUCUUUUUGUCUAUUUGGACAAAAUUGGCAUUAUCGGCGACAAGAUGUACGAUAAGGUUGGAUUGACCCUUCAACACACCACUGGCUUCUUUUUGUCUGUUUCUUCUACUCAGUUUUAUUUAUUUGUCAUUAUGAAUGAUUCCUUCUCCAUUACAGAUAUAAAUUCUCGUUUUUUUGGUCCCAUUUAGUUUGUUUUGCCAAAAAGCAUGUUAUUCCAUAAUUAAAAGUAAUGAAAAUGAAUUACAAUUAUGAAAGACAAUGAGAGAAAUUAUGAAGUAAGCUAAGUGUUAACAAUUCUUGGAAGUUGGAACAGCUGUGGCGGUUUUAAAUCAUUUUUUAGUACGAGAACUAAGAGAUUUUUAUCCAUAAUUAGAAUCUUUUAAAUGAGGAUUUUAACUGUAAAAUAAUAAUAAUUUUAAUAUAAUUUAGUUAUAUAAUUAAUAUUAAAUUUGAAGAAAAUGAACCACUUGUAAUAAGACAAGUGUCAUGAGUUUUUCAAAGUUUUAAAUGGGAAAGCCAUUUCAUUUUCUCAUUUUUUGUUUAUUUUUUACUUUUUUUUUUAAUGUAGAAAACUCAUGUGAGCGACCUUUGAUCGAGGUGUUCUAAGAGCAUGAUUAUCCAAAGACUCUUAAUAAUGGCUCUUAUCUACGUGACACAUCUUAACUCUCAAAAUGUUUCUUAGCUAAGAAACGUUCCUUAGUUAUAUUCAGCAUUUUCAAUUUAAUUUAAAUUAUUUAUAAACCUAAGAGAAUCAUUAAGCAACUACCGAUAAUCAUGCUCUAAGUCUCUAACAGUAGUAAGAAUUGUGUUGGCCUACGUAUGCCGUAUGCGCAUCAGUUGAAAGAAAGAAAAAAAUAUACAAAACCUAAUUAAUUAUACGUUUAUAAGUUAUUGGUUGAUAAGCGAUACAUACCUUAAGGUUUUCAGCUUCCUCACUCUGAGACUGUGACUCAGAUGAGAAAUAAACUUCAGGGGACCGAUCUUGAACAUUGUUAUUCUUGCAAAAGGGCAACCAACGCUUAGAGAACUUGGCAGCCUCCAUAAGAGCAAACAAAGUCAAUGAAGAUCCUCCAUCGUCCGAUACAUAGACUGAGAUCUUAUCGGACGCAUAUUCAUAGGCCAUCACAGAUAAGGCGGUGUUAACCACCAUCAUCGGAGGCUCCUUGUACGGAUCAGCCGUGCAUAUAAACACGUCCAGCUUCGGAAAAUCCUCCGGUUUAGCUGCAUAUUUCUCAGGGUACUCCGUCCGGUGAACCGGGUUUAACCGGAGGGAAGUUGUGGUUACCCACAUGAAGGCGAGAACAAUAUCGGAGAGGAGAAGAAGACAUGUUAUAAGAGUGUUGUUUGCUGUGAGAAUUGAGAGUACAUGGUGAUACAUGAGGGCUAUGAUGCCACACGUGUGGAUUACGGCGUAGAUUCUGUAUGGAAUGGCGCGCCGGCAGGGAUGACACGUGUGGAGGGCCGUCGAGUAUUUUCUCCGAGGUUCCAUCUUUUUAAGGAAGGCAACUGGUUUUUCGAGAAAAUAAUGACCACAAAUAUAUAAAUAGGACUUAUAUAUAGGCCAGUUUCUUUGGAUUGAUUAUUUCUCUGAUGAUAUAUACACACACACACUAUAGAUAGUACUUAUAUACACUAUAUUUGUUUAUAUGUUAGGAUAAAUUCGUAGGUAUAAAAAUAUAUAUAACAAUUACUGAUGUAAAUAUUUGGAUUUUGAUGAUUGAAACCCACAGAUUAUAAAACCAUUAAUUCCUUGAUUUUAUAAAAUAUUUAUCACCAAAAACAAAAGUUAAAUAUUUACUUAAUUAAUAUAUGUACUUGAUACUCCCACCAAAAAAAUAUGUACUUAAUACUUCAAUAGUUUAAAAAUAAAAACAUUAAUAUAAAAUUUUAAAAUAACUGUAAACCAGUUAUAUUGUAAAAAACAAUUUACAAUAUUAUUGGUUUAGAGUUAUAGAAAAACAAUGGAAUAAAAAACUAAAAAAUAUAUCUUUUUGAAACAAAAAUCUUUUCUAAAACUUGGACUAAUUAGGAACAAAGGGAGAGGGAGUAACAUAUGUUAUAUUUUAAGUAAUUAAUCUUUUGUCACAUGUUGGAUUUUAGUGAGACGUGUGGAAUUUUAUCUUAUACAAUUUGAAUUUUUCAAUGGAGAAGUUAAGUUGAAAUUCUCUAACUUGAAAAUGAUGCGAAACUAUCAAAUGGAUGAAGACUGGGGCUUGGAGAGUCACUGCCUUCACGAUUCACGUCACGCAUAUCUGCCAAGUGCCAACUUCUUAACUUCUUGCAAAAUAUCGAUUGUGGACAACUGUACUUCCACACAAUCGUACAUAAAUGUGUACAUAAAGAGUCGUAUAACACUUUUAAUAAAAAUGUGAUAGAAGUUUCCAUUAAGUAUGAUAAAUCUUUGAGUAAUUGUGUUUCUAUUUGCAAAGUCAUUUGAGAAAAAACAGAGUCAAUAAGUAUCAUUUUAUUUUUAUCAUUAAUCUACUAUUUUGAGUAUGAAAAUUAAAUCCCACUAACUAGAUCAUUUUCCAGGCUUUGCUAGGGAUUUUAUUUAAAAUUUUGGAGUAUAAUUAAUUUGUUUAUAAGCCUAAGUAGUGGUGAAAGUGAAACACCAAAUAUAUAUACGAGAGUAAAUAGAUCGAAAUAAGCAAAAUAAAUGUUGUCUUAUCGUCUAUUAUAUGUAUUCACAUCAAAAUAUCUCAAAGUACGUAGACACAUAUACUGAUAUACCGAAAUGUAUGUUCAACAAUGAGGUGAGAAAUGGGAUUUCAUCACAUUAUUCUCUCUAAUUACCACAAUGCAGACGUAAUAUUAUUUUAAUCCAAACGACAGAACCAUACUGGGUGCAGUUACUUGAGGAAGAAGUAACCUGACACAAUCAGCACAAAUGUGAGGAUCACAGCUACGAAACAAAUUCUUUUUGGUAAUUUUCCAUUAUCUUUCCUCAACACCAUAGCCUCAUAGAUUGGCAAGCAAUUCACCACCACGAAGCUCGCCAGCAUCAGCUCAAGGACGAGUCCUUUUCCCCAAGCGAAAAGACCAUAAAGCCCCCAGACAAAAGCAAGGAGGUUCACGAUCGCCGCCGUGGUCAUAGGUAAGAACAUUGUCGAAGAGGGACCGAACUCAAACAUCUCUUUCUCAUACCUCUUGCUCUGUUCUUCAUCAUCGUUGGCUUUGCUUGUGACGUUGAAUCCAUGUGUGGAGAGGUUUAGGGUUUGAAGAGUGAACUCUAUGAAGCCAAAUAGGUGUGAAGAGAAUCCUCUUAUCGACCACAUUCUUUGAUCGUUCCACCAUCCGCGAUAAGUUCCUCCUUCUAAUACAAAGUCGAGUAGAUCUUGCGCAUAUGCACCGAGGAACAAAACGAUGUAAAGCCAAAACCAUGGAUCCGAUGACUUGGGAAAGACGCUAACUCCAUAGAGGAGAGCAAGUUGGGGCAAGAAUCCAUAGACGACAUGAGGAAGUGACCAAAAUGGCCAACAUGCGUAUUGACAAUAGCCUAAUCCCAUUAAUAGACCCAUUGAUUUGACACCAUAGGUAAUGGGGCUAUACCUUGAGAAGGCAACUUCAAGAAGUCCAAUGGCCCAUCUUUUUUGUUGGCUGACUACAUCAAUUAGGCUUUUUGGGGCAUCUCCGCAAAAUGCUGCUCUUUUGGGACUGCAAAAAACUGUUCUCCAUCCUUCACAAUGGAGCCUAUACCCUGUGUAGUAGUCUUCUACUAAAGAUCCGUAUCUAUAUCCAAUCUGCAUAGUUUUGAAUGAUAAUUUGAAUAUACAGUAUAACAAACUAGGAAACAAAAGAUAUUUCGAAUGACUCAUAUUGAAUCGAAGAUCUAUCUUUAGGCUACCCAUUAUGAAAUAUAUUUUUCAUGUUUCAUAUCAAUCAAGACAUCAUAUCAUUCGUUUCUAAAAGUCAACUACUGUUAUCUAAGAUUAGAGAACCUAAUUGCUAUUAGUUCACAUAUGCCAUAUGAAAAAAUAACUAUUUCUAAUUGGUUAACUUAGAUUGAAACUGGUUUAGUUUUGAGUUUCAUUAACUUUCAACUCAAAAUAGAUUAACAAUUAGUGGAUUUAUGUAUAUCACUUCUAUAUUACUUAAAGUCUAUUUUUCUUUAGAUGUGAGGUUCUCUAACAUUAGUUUUCAUGAAAUUUUUUAUAACAAAUGGAAAUCAAUAAUAGAUCAAGGUAAUUGGUGUUGUUUUUAUCUACGAGGGUUGUUUUUAUCUUACCUUUGAUCCCCAAUUGGUGUUGUGCUCGUAGAUACAGCCUGCUACUUUGUGUGCCAAUGCUAAAACAUCUUGAGCGUUGAUGGGCUUAUCUACAGUACGAUUGGGCUUAAGUUCAUCUAUCUCAGGCAAAAUCAAAUUAGACGGAGCCCCAUAAAAAACUCGUCGAUUGAAGAAACAACCAGUUCCUACAUGAUUUGGGCCCAUUAGACCAUCAAACCCAAUCAUACUGAUCUCAAAGAGACGCUUAUAUGCGCAUGCAUAGAUAUCAUUCUUGCUUAUUCCUUGAAAUUUUUGAGGAAACUGUACAUAACCUAAACCAGUAUUGAUUUCAGGAUCCGUUAAAUAGCACAAGGCACGAACUGGUGUUGCAGGAUCGUUCGAAUACAUAUCACAGUCUAGUGUUAAAAUAAUCGGUGCAUUCGUCAUGACUCCAGACACUCGUAGCUAUAAUAAAAACAAAACACGUUAUCUUUAAACUACUGAAAUGCUAAUUAAUCGAAAUAAAAAUCGUUUAAGGUAUUAGGUUUAGUUGAUACCAAAGUAUUAAGAGCACCGGCUUUGAAAUGAUGUGGUGAAACUUUACUCUUCUCUCUUGAAACAUAUAUUAGGUUUGGCAUUAUAUACUUUUUGGUAGUGUCCAUAUCUGUCUCGCUAUUUUGUAGCACCUGUCCUCAAAUUAAUUGAAAUUGAGAUUUUGUUUACUUAAAAUAAUAAUGGCACAGUACAAUUGUUAAGUAAAUAUAUUCAAAAUGCAAUUUUCAUUAUGAUAAAUAGUAGUGAGAAAAGAAUAUUUUAAGUUUUUUUUUUUCUUUAUAAUUACCUG